This 775-nucleotide long non-coding RNA is filed under the name Arabidopsis lyrata. Its description in RNAcentral is "long non-coding RNA (ALYR_LNC000622)". The record is from RNAcentral. Lineage: Eukaryota; Viridiplantae; Streptophyta; Magnoliopsida; Brassicales; Brassicaceae.
CGGGAGAGACGGCAUUCUUGCCUUCUGAUGAGCUUGUAAUCAAUGCUAGUCUCCUCUUGAGAUAACCUAACAAUUCGAAGAGCAAGCAAAUAAUGGAAUGUUGAUGUUAGUCUCAGAACAACUUUCGAAGAAGAAGAAUGGUCUAAAAGGAUGGAAAUUCUGUAUUUCUAUACCGGGUGUUUCCAUGGUGAGGUUAGUCCAAUCAGUUGGUCUUUUCUUCAUUUCUGACGCCUUGAUUAACUCGAGAAGAGCUUUAUUAACCUGAAAUUGACCAGAAGGUAUGUUAAUGCCUUUUUCCAGGUUCCGAGAUUACAGAGAUACCAACAAGAGUAAGGACAAUGUGUUCCCUCUUCCACAAAGUAGCAAUGCUAUUCCUAAAAGACCUCAGAGCCUGUAAGUCUUUAUUAAUAGUUUGCUAUCAUGACUAACAAUGAGGUUUAAGUAACGGUAUGAUUGCUUACAAUGUUCGAUCAGUUGCUACAGCCGUCAAGUUUUUCUAAAUAGGUUGCCUUUAAAAUCUUUCUCCAUAUAUGAUUGAAUCAGUUCAUCAAAUUCAUAGUCAAUAUCUUGUUAUUUUCAGAAUAGUCUCAUUCUAUUUGGGUCUUAUAUUUUUCCUGCUAAGUUAAGGUAAUCUGAGUAUGACAUUCAUUAACAUUUACUGCAGACUGGAUGAGAUUAGGGAGCGACAAAGACUUAAGAUAUUAGGGCUUAUAUACAUCAGACGCAAGAGAGACAGAGAAGUUAAGACAUAGCUAAAUAAAACAAAAGUACCUCU